ACUGUCAUUGAGCAGAACAGACACCUAGGGCCGGUGGCCGGCGGAGAAGUUGGGCCAUGGUGCACGGUGGGCGGAACUGCGAAACAGUGCAGCCACCGCAGGAGACGCGAUGCCUAUUCAAGUUUCAAAAUAUGAAAAUAUUGAAAACAGCUGCCCCAUGAUCCGGCAAUCCCACUUCUAGGCGUCUACACAAAAGAACCGAAAGCAGGAUCUGGAACCGAUAUUUGCACACCUGUAUCCACAGCAGCCAAAAGGUUUUGUUCGUGUUUGUGUAUUUAAUACGUGGCCCAGGACAGCUCUUCUUCUUCCAGUGUGGCCCAGAGACGCCAAAAGGCAUGCCAACCACUGAUAAAGGCAAGAAGCAAUCUGGAUGACUCCACAACCUCGUACCAAGUGAAAGGUACCAGCCACAAAGGGAUUCGGGCCACAUGGGUCCACCUACAGGAAGCUGUAGGACAAGCAGAAUUAGUCCAUGAUGGAAGACACCGCUGGGCUGGGGGCGGGGGCAGGGUUGACUGGGCAGGGGCCUGAGCUGCCUUUGGGGGAUUGUGGUUAAUGUCCUGUGCUCCUUUUCUCCGGCUUCCAUAACACAGCACCACAAGCUAGGUGGCUUAAAACAAUGUACAUCUACUCUCUCGCAGUUCUGGAGGCCAGGAAUCUGGGAUCGGGGCCACGUCCCCUCUGGAGACUCUCUGGGAGAAUUCCUCCUUGCCUCUUGCAGAUACCAGUGGCUUCCGGCAGCCCUUGGCGUCUCCCUGGCUUGUAGAUACAUCAUUGCAGCCUCUGCCCCUACCUCCGCAUGGCCAUCCCCUCCCCCACUGCCCGAGUGUCUGUGUUCAGAUCUCCUUCUCCUUUCUCUUGUAAAGACACCACUCCCUGGAGGUCGGGCCCACCCUAAUCCGGCCUGACCUCAUCUUAACUUGGUUAUAUCCACGAGACCCUGUUUCCAAGUAAGGCUGCAUUCACAAGUACCAAGGGUUAGGACUGGGAUGUAUCUUUUUGAGGGACCCAGUUCAACCUACUUCAUGGUCAGUAUCUUGGAAAGGGUUUGUCUAACACAGGUAGAUGCAUUCGUCGAAAAGAACAUAAAGUCCACCUGAGAUCUGUGCAUUUCACUGAGUAUAAGUGUCCACACAGAGAAACGAGUGUCAACCUCUCGUUCAUGAAGACACGGUUGGGGGUGUGGUGGGCGGGGGUCUGCACGUGUUCUGCUUGAGUUGGGAGCAGUCCCUCAGGCCUUUCUUCCUCAUUCGUGGCCUUGACACUUUCGAAGAGUUCAGGCCGAGUUAUCUGGAAGCUCAGCUGAGUCCAGAGCACUGUGGUCUGGGAAAACUAACCUGAGCCACAUAUUUAUGUUUAAUGGCCAGUUUUUGGGUAGGCACAGCUGAAAAAGCCACAGGUGAGUCAUUUUUAUAGUAUAUUUUCUUUAACCCAGCACACCUAAGACCUUCUCAUUUCUACAUGUUCUCAAUUUGAAAAAGUAUGGGGAGAGUUGACAUCUUUUUUUUUUCAUGCUGUCUUUGAAACUCAGUGUCUCCUUAACACAGCACAUUCCAGUUUAGACCAGGUACACGGCAGGUGCCUGACAGCCAUAGGUGGCUGGUGGCCACUGUACUGGACAGCUCAGGGCUGCUCGCGUGUCCUCAUGACAUGUCUUUCCCCAGAGCAAGGGACCAGAGAGGGCAAGAAAGACGCACGUGCCUUUGAGGACCUACUUUUCUGGCACAAUCUACCCAUUAGAAUCAAAUCGCUGAGUCUGGCCCCAGUCAGGAAGGAGCAAAUUAGAUUCCGCCUCUGAAGGAAAGUGUCAGAUCAUUUGUGGACAUAUCUUAAAACCGUACUGCUCUGUCUCUGUUUGUUUACAUCAGUGUGGAUUUCAUGUUAUUCCAUGGGCUCUAAAUCCAUCGCCACCAUCAUUUACUUUGGUGCUCAAACUGACCCAGGCUUGGCCAGUGUGAGCCCCCUUUCAGCUGACCCGUGUCCACCAUUUAAUGUGACCACAGCUCCAUUAUUCAUUGAACAUGUCCUUAUUUUGGGGGACAAGAUGUUCCCAGGCUCAAUUUUUUUUUCCUUUUCUUAGCUCUGCCCAGAUUCAUUUUACUGGAGAAUGGAGAUUUGGAAACCCACAUCUGGGUGCUGUCCAACUUUUUAAUUUUACCCAUCAGCCUCCUCGGUGUGAGGUCUUCUGUCCUGGCUUUUUCCAUUUGCAUUUCCUGUCGCUCAUAUUUUCGAGCCUUCUUCCUGAGCCUGUGGUUUUCCCUGCUGCAAACUGCUCUCCCACCUGUCCUGCCCCUGCCACUGAGGCUGCCGUCUUUGUGUUAUUUCUAGUGUCCCCGCCUUGUCUCGGCAUUGCUGUUUUAGAUACUGCAGGGUCUGCACACCCUGACACCUGUCUGUUGAUGUUGGCCUUGGUAUU
Artibeus jamaicensis (Jamaican fruit-eating bat) is the source of this 2416-nucleotide long non-coding RNA. RefSeq lists it as uncharacterized. The record is from RefSeq and is a predicted model, not a curated record. Lineage: Eukaryota; Metazoa; Chordata; Mammalia; Chiroptera; Phyllostomidae. The transcript has 3 exons.